GCGUCUUGCUCCUUUCCUAUUAAUCGAUGUGAAACAGAGUGAAAAGAUCUAAGAAACGUUUGAUGUAGCCCUGGAAGGAGGCAAAAAUUUCAUGCUGAUUUUUGCCGUGUUCGUCUUCUCACUGUUAACUUUCCAGUAAAUAUUCUCUAUUCAAUCCUUGCUUCUUUUGUUUGACAACUACGCUUCCAGAGACCGUAGACAGGAAGAGGAGGAGCCUCUGUCUUCCUCAAUCCGAACUGCAGUUCCCCAUUCGUUUUCUCCCUUUCGGAUUCCCUCUUCAUUGCCUCCCGAUCUCAUAACCAUCUUUCCUAAAGCUCAUUCAUUACUGCAUGAAUCAAAAGCCAAGCAACAGUUUCAACUUCCGGUGCUCUCGAUUCUUCCAUUCAUCGCACUUACAUAGACUAAAUGAUCCCUGCAACCAUGGCAAAUAAAACGUCCUCAUCAACCAGAAAGGCAAGACGGCGUGCGUUAUUAUAAAACAAUGUUGGCCCUCGAUUUCGGCUAAUUUCAUUUCUGGGAAUUACGCGGAGUAAGACAUAGAUUCCCUUUUUAGAAGGUAAUCUAAAAAGGGAACAUUCAGUAUAUCUCUCUCUCUUAGUUUCUUCAUCAAAUUGAACACGAGAGACAUUGGAGGAUUGUUUGUUAGCGUAUGUUUUCAGAGAGCUCCAAAUCCUCCAUCUACGACCCUUAUCAGUUUACUUGAUCAAACUUGAGAUCACAAAUACACGCAUCAACUUUACCGACAACGCUUUCAAGUUCCAAUGCCUUCCCAGAUAUAUCGGCGAGAAAAGAAAAGAAGUUUGCAGCAACUGCCUCUAUGAAAGCUGAUUUAGAGAAGAAGAAAAUUGAGCAAUGUAAGCUAGAAAAGUGAAGGAAUCACAUACGAGCAAGGAAAUCUUUUCCACAAGAGCAGGCCGCCAGAGAAAAAGUUGCUGAUCGAGCUAUUUAUUUUUUAAAUUGCACAACCUUUUGUUUUUUCAAAUAUUUUGAUUACAGUCUUUUCAUUAUUUAUGCUUAACUGCUUGAGGAACUAAGCUGCCAAGCAAGGUACAAGGUUAUUUGAAUAUAAAAGUCCAACAGUGCUGGUGCAUGUGGAACGGUACAAUAGACUAUGGAGAAUUCAUGAUAGAAGCAAUAGUGCACAUAAACAGAUUCACGGAGUUCAAUUGCUAACACAGACACAAUGAAAAAAAACGUACAAGUAAGACUCCUUUCCUUUAUUGUUUUUUUUAUCGUUUAUGAGUCGCUUCGCCAGUUUUGCUCUAUAACUUUUUUUUACAUUCAUUCCUCUUUAAUCUGUAGCUUUGUUCUAAACUUCUAAGUCGUGGUCUCUCUUAACAUCUUGAACUCUUAAUUUUGUCUUGAGUCAAAGAGAGAGAUUGAUUGCUCCCAUGUCUCAUCUGUUGAGAAGAAAAACUGUCAUGGCUCCCGAGAAAUCCUCUCAGCCGCCGGACAUGGAGACAAAGUUGGAUCUAGAGCCAGAGAGUCAAAGGUAGGAGGUUAUCUUGAUCCAGCAAAAUUAAUCAAAAAGUUCGUGGAACUUUUUUUUUCUUAUUAAAAAGAUCGUGGAACUUUGCAUACAAACUUUGAAAGCAAGAUCUCAGUCUCAGCCAGCACAACAAUGAAGUAGGAAUUUUACCACAAAAAAAAACAAUGAAGUAGGAAACCAGCAUUCCUCCUGCGAGCUCCCAUCCUCCAGAGGCUAAUGACCAAACUGUUGACUCUGGCCAAAACAACAAGUUCCCCGUUAUAAGCGAAAAACUUAUCAACAACGUCAUCGAUUACAGGAUGCUUUUAUUGUGAUUUUUAUUGUUUUGUCCUUUAGUUUAGGGUUAAAUUAUCUGCUAUGUUUCUAGAAACAAUAUUUUAAAUCCCAUUCUGGAUAUCGUUUCGGCAUAAGUUUAUAUCAUGUUCAUUAAGAUU
Long non-coding RNA from Raphanus sativus (radish), 1923 nucleotides. RefSeq lists it as uncharacterized. Lineage: Eukaryota; Viridiplantae; Streptophyta; Magnoliopsida; Brassicales; Brassicaceae. The transcript has 5 exons. The record is from RefSeq and is a predicted model, not a curated record.